Molecule: ribosomal RNA, 327 nt
Filed under: uncultured bacterium
Lineage: Bacteria
Description: bacterial SSU rRNA
Rfam family: Bacterial small subunit ribosomal RNA
Source: RNAcentral
GGGCGCAAGCCUGAUGCAGCGACGCCGCGUGCGGGAUGACGGCCUUCGGGUUGUAAACCGCUUUUGAUCGGGAGCAAGCCUUCGGGUGAGUGUACCUUUCGAAUAAGCACCGGCUAACUACGUGCCAGCAGCCGCGGUAAUACGUAGGGUGCAAGCGUUAUCCGGAAUUAUUGGGCGUAAAGGGCUCGUAGGCGGUUCGUCGCGUCCGGUGUGAAAGUCCAUCGCUUAACGGUGGAUCUGCGCCGGGUACGGGCGGGCUGGAGUGCGGUAGGGGAGACUGGAAUUCCCGGUGUAACGGUGGAAUGUGUAGAUAUCGGGAAGAACACC